RNAcentral lists this ribosomal RNA (496 nucleotides) under uncultured bacterium. Its description in RNAcentral is "partial 16S ribosomal RNA". It matches the Rfam family "Bacterial small subunit ribosomal RNA", at positions 28 to 507 of the family's 1533-position model. The record is from RNAcentral.
GACGAACGCUGGCGGCGUGCCUAAUACAUGCAAGUUGAGCGCUGAAGGUUGGUACUUGUACCAACUGGAUGAGCAGCGAACGGGUGAGUAACGCGUGGGGAAUCUGCCUUUGAGCGGGGGACAACAUUUGGAAACGAAUGCUAAUACCGCAUAAAAACUUUAAACACAAGUUUUAAGUUUGAAAGAUGCAAUUGCAUCACUCAAAGAUGAUCCCGCGUUGUAUUAGCUAGUUGGUGAGGUAAAGGCUCACCAAGGCGAUGAUACAUAGCCGACCUGAGAGGGUGAGAGGACACACUGGGACUGAGACACGGACCAGACGACGACGGGAGGAAGCAGGAGGGAAUCUUAGGCAAGGGACGAAAGUAUGACAGAGCAACGCGGGGGGAGUGAAGAAGGUGUUGGGAUCGUAAAAAUCUGUUGUUAGUGAAGAACAAGGACGUUAGUAACUGAACGUCACCUGACGGUAGCUAACCAGAAAGCCACGGCUAACUACGUG